This is a long non-coding RNA of Mesocricetus auratus (golden hamster), 853 nucleotides long. RefSeq lists it as uncharacterized. The record is from RefSeq and is a predicted model, not a curated record. NCBI's taxonomy places the organism in Eukaryota, Metazoa, Chordata, Mammalia, Rodentia, Cricetidae. The transcript has 2 exons.
CCUGCCGUUAGAAUUUCUGUCCUGACUUCCUUUCGUGACAGCAAUGUUUGUGACAGGGUCUCAUGUAGACCGGCGUGGCAUUGAACUCACUAUAUAGCCAAGGAUAACAUUGAACAUCUGGUGCUCCUCAUCUAUCUCCUGGGUGCUGGUAUUACAGGUAUGUGCCACCACAAAUGGCUUUUAUGUGGUGUCGGCAUCACAGACAGGACCUUAUGUAUGCUAGCUAUAUACUCAACCUAUAUACUCAACUAAGUAUGUAUGUAUGUAUGUAUGUAUGCUCUAUUCUGAGUAGGAUAAAGUUCUCUGCAGCAUAGGGAUAGAAAGUGUUCUGGUUUUGUUUUGUUUUUAAUUGUUGGAGGUCAACAACAGUUGAAAGAGCAUCAAUGUUUAAGAUGACUGAAUAGAUAUUACUCUAGGACAAAACAAUGAGUUUUUCUUUAUGUAUGUAACUUUCAUAUGUCACAUGUAUGAUCAUGAGCCUUCCUUUACCUGUUCUGCUUUACACUUCAAUAAGCAACCUUCCUUCCAUUUGUUUCAUGUUCUCUGUGUCUGAUGACCAGACCCAUGCCCAUGACGCAUGGUUUUAUAGGUGAAUUUUUGUAUCAAAAGCUUUGUGUAAAUUUCUGGAUAGUCAUUUCUUCUUGUAGUAGGAAAUUAUAAAAUAAAUUAAAUCACAUUUCAGUUUUAUGUGACUUUGGGCUUAAAUAAAGCUAGCUGGGAGUCUCUUUGACAUUUAUUGAACUGUAUUAUCAAGAAGUAUUUUACAUCAAAGACAAAUUCCAGAUGUAUCCACGUAUAUAUGUAAACAUAAUGCUACUAAUACUGUAAGUAAAUUAUUUUGCUUUCCAGAGAA